UUUACCAUUCUGUCUAAAUAGGCUAUAUGGUUUGCAAACCAACUCGGAACGAAGAAGAGAGAGAGGAGAACGAAAAGGGAUAGAGAAACAACAGUUGAUGAAAGGCGGGAUUGAACACACUAGAGAGGAUGUUUCUCGUUGGGGUUGAAUCAACUCUCAGGCCAAGAGAACAUACCUCGCCUAAUAGACUGGAGGAGGUGUCCUUUCAUGGGGCUUCUUUGGCGAUCGUGAAGUCACCGGAUGAAUUGCCGAGUAGAUAGAUCUGAUCCGGACGCGGAUGUUGCUCCACGGCGAUACGGACUCGACCCGUUCCUACCCACCCCGGGGCACCAUAGCAUGUCGGGAAGAAGGGGGGUCUUUAGUAAAACUUCAUAUGCUCCAUAAAUCAAUGGACAAACCACAAUAAAAUUCCUAUUCUAGAGAAACAGAGACAACAAAGAUUCAAAACCUCUCUGACCAUAAUCUUAAGUUAGUUCGAAGCCUAAAAUCUUUAGUGUUGUUUUAAAAUUUCUAACCACAUUUUACAUUUGUAUUAAUGUAUUCUAAACUCUCUUUCAUGGUACAUGGGCAUCUAUUUUUUUUUUUUUAUCAGUUACGGGCCCCUUUACCAUUCUGUCUAAAUAGGCUAUAUGGUUUGCAAACCAACUCGAAACAAAGAAGAGAGAGAGGAGAACGAAAAGGGAUAGAGAAACAACAGUUGAUGAAAGGCGGGAUUGAACACACUAGAGAGGAUGUUUCUCGUUGGGGUUGAAUCAACUCUCAGGCCAAGAGAACAUACCUCGCCUAAUAGACUGGAGGAGGUGUCC
Molecule: long non-coding RNA, 806 nt
Filed under: Brassica napus (rape)
Lineage: Eukaryota; Viridiplantae; Streptophyta; Magnoliopsida; Brassicales; Brassicaceae
Description: long non-coding RNA (BNAP_LNC014769)
Source: RNAcentral